GAUUCAUGGCUGGCGUCAGCGUUGAGCUGCUGGUGGUCCUGACUGCGAUUCUGCUGGUUUCAGUAGAGGGAUGGGAGCGGCUCAAGAAAAUUCAACGUACUAAUGUUUGAGAGCCGCCAGCGGUCUCAUCCACGAAGUGUUAACUCGCCAGGCUCAAAGGAUCUGCUGGCUGUCAUGGAUGCUCCAGAGUCUUGUGGUUAUGAAGUGAACCCUCUAACACCUUGGCUGUACCCUUCACCGGGUGCUAUGUGAAACGGGUAGGUUUCUGCUGCCAAAGAUGCAUGGUUGCGGCAUCCCCACAGGAGAGAAGGUGACUUGUGGCCAGUCAAGAAUAUCAUCCUCAGACUGUGAGAUGAUGGGAUGCUGUGUGGAUUCUUCUACAUCUGCCUGCUACUACCCAAUGGAUGGAAGUUGGUGAGACAAUGAUCUAUCUGGCUGAAGUGCAGACUGUCAUCCAAUCUCUGACCCUCCAGUAUGGUGUAAUUACAACACGAGAUCCACUCAGGUUCAUGGUUGAGUGUCGCUAUAGCAAAGCAGGUGUUGCUCCACAGUCCCUAACCAGCGUUGGCUACAUGGUGAAGACCCCGAGUCCCAGCUUGCCAUCAGCAGUCCUCUCUCAUGGCUUAUAUGCUGUUGACUUGAGAAUUGCUAAAGAUCAGACGUAUUCAAGCUACUUGCACACAAAAAAUCGGCCCUUACGACUGCUCCUGGGCAAUCCAGUCUAUCUUGAAAUGCGCCUCAGAUCACCAAAACCAGAUGCAGUAAUCCUUGUCAACUACUGUGUAGCUUACCCUUGCUCUGCAAGGAAUGCACUGGUGCUUAUUUAUGAAGGGUGUCCCAACCUUUAUGCUCCAAAUGUGUCCAUCCUUAAAAUCAUUGAAUGCAAAAAGGCGGUUCGUGGUUGAAGCCUUCCAGUUUAUGGUUCAAAAGACAAAUGAAUACAUUGACGAAGAAAUCUAUUUCAUGUGCUCUACAGAAGUGUGUUUAGCAGCAGAUAGGCCAUGUGAACAACGGUGCUUUGAUGGAAAGGCACCAUGCAGAUGCUGCAGAAGACUUAUGAAGAUAAGGGGGAAGAAUAAAUAAACCAUGUUUAACACAUA
Molecule: RNA transcript, 1100 nt
Organism: Micropterus dolomieu (smallmouth bass)
Lineage: Eukaryota; Metazoa; Chordata; Actinopteri; Centrarchiformes; Centrarchidae
Gene name: zona pellucida sperm-binding protein 1-like
Exons: 9
Source: RefSeq, a predicted model, not a curated record